GGGGAUGUUAUUGGCUUCGACGCCGGUGAUGAAACUCAUAGAUGCAUGCCGAGAGCGCAUUUUCUCUCGUAAAUAAAAUUUGCAUUUAAAUAGUCGCAAACGACGAAACUUACGCUCUAGCUGCCUAAGGGCCGCUUGUCCGCUUCCUAGAAUACUUGUGGUCUGGGAACCCGACUGAAGCGCACGCACACAAGUCCGUAUAGAGUCAAGCCUCGGGGCUUUAUACCAAACUUAGAGGAUCGCACCUUGU
This 250-nucleotide transfer-messenger RNA is filed under the name Acinetobacter baumannii. Its description in RNAcentral is "partial transfer-messenger RNA". It matches the Rfam family "transfer-messenger RNA", at positions 1 to 261 of the family's 374-position model. Rfam says of the family: Bacterial tmRNA, also known as 10Sa RNA or SsrA, is named for its dual tRNA and mRNA-like properties. Lineage: Bacteria; Pseudomonadati; Pseudomonadota; Gammaproteobacteria; Moraxellales; Moraxellaceae. The record is from RNAcentral.